This 788-nucleotide ribosomal RNA is filed under the name uncultured bacterium. Its description in RNAcentral is "bacterial SSU rRNA". It matches the Rfam family "Bacterial small subunit ribosomal RNA", at positions 8 to 793 of the family's 1533-position model. The record is from RNAcentral.
AGAGUUUGAUCCUGGCUCAGAUUGAACGCUGGCGGCAUGCCUUACACAUGCAAGUCGAACGGUAACAGGUCUUCGGAUGCUGACGAGUGGCGAACGGGUGAGUAACACAUCGGAACGUGCCCGAUCGUGGGGGAUAACGGAGCGAAAGCUUUGCUAAUACCGCAUACGAUCUACGGAUGAAAGCAGGGGACCCUUGGGCCUUGCGCGGACGGAGCGGCCGAUGGCAGAUUAGGUAGUUGGUGGGAUAAAAGCUUACCAAGCCGACGAUCUGUAGCUGGUCUGAGAGGACGACCAGCCACACUGGGACUGAGACACGGCCCAGACUCCUACGGGAGGCAGCAGUGGGGAAUUUUGGACAAUGGGCGCAAGCCUGAUCCAGCCAUGCCGCGUGCAGGAUGAAGGCCUUCGGGUUGUAAACUGCUUUUGUACGGAACGAAAAGACUCCUUCAAAUAAAGGGGGUUCAUGACGGUACCGUAAGAAUAAGCACCGGCUAACUACGUGCCAGCAGCCGCGGUAAUACGUAGGGUGCAAGCGUUAAUCGGAAUUACUGGGCGUAAAGCGUGCGCAGGCGGUUAUAUAAGACAGAUGUGAAAUCCCCGGGCUCAACCUGGGAACUGCAUUUGUGACUGUAUAGCUGGAGUACGGCAGAGGGGGACGGAAUUCCGCGUGUAGCAGUGAAAUGCGUAGAUAUGCGGAGGAACACCGAUGGCGAAGGCAAUCCCCUGGGCCUGUACUGACGCUCAUGCACGAAAGCGUGGGUAGCAAACAGGAUUAGAUACCCUGGUAG